RNAcentral lists this ribosomal RNA (882 nucleotides) under Vibrio sp. C21(2010). Its description in RNAcentral is "bacterial SSU rRNA". It matches the Rfam family "Bacterial small subunit ribosomal RNA", at positions 48 to 910 of the family's 1533-position model. Lineage: Bacteria; Pseudomonadati; Pseudomonadota; Gammaproteobacteria; Vibrionales; Vibrionaceae. The record is from RNAcentral.
GCUACACAUGCAGUCGAGCGGAACGAGUUAUCUAGAAGCCUUCGGGUGGAGAUAACGGCGUCGAGCGGCGGACGGGUGAGUAAUGCCUGGGAAAUUGCCCUGAUGUGGGGGAUAACCAUUGGAAACGAUGGCUAAUACCGCAUAAUAGCUUCGGCUCAAAGAGGGGGACCUUCGGGCCUCUCGCGUCAGGAUAUGCCCAGGUGGGAUUAGCUAGUUGGUGAGGUAAUGGCUCACCAAGGCGACGAUCCCUAGCUGGUCUGAGAGGAUGAUCAGCCACACUGGAACUGAGACACGGUCCAGACUCCUACGGGAGGCAGCAGUGGGGAAUAUUGCACAAUGGGCGCAAGCCUGAUGCAGCCAUGCCGCGUGUAUGAAGAAGGCCUUCGGGUUGUAAAGUACUUUCAGCAGUGAGGAAGGUGGUGUCGUUAAUAGCGGCAUCAUUUGACGUUAGCUGCAGAAGAAGCACCGGCUAACUCCGUGCCAGCAGCCGCGGUAAUACGGAGGGUGCGAGCGUUAAUCGGAAUUACUGGGCGUAAAGCGCAUGCAGGUGGUUUGUUAAGUCAGAUGUGAAAGCCCGGGGCUCAACCUCGGAAUUGCAUUUGAAACUGGCAGACUAGAGUACUGUAGAGGGGGGUAGAAUUUCAGGUGUAGCGGUGAAAUGCGUAGAGAUCUGAAGGAAUACCGGUGGCGAAGGCGGCCCCCUGGACAGAUACUGACACUCAGAUGCGAAAGCGUGGGGAGCAAACAGGAUUAGAUACCCUGGUAGUCCACGCCGUAAACGAUGUCUACUUGGAGGUUGUGGCCUUGAGCCGUGGCUUUCGGAGCUAACGCGUUAAGUAGACCGCCUGGGGAGUACGGUCGCAAGAUUAAACUCAGAGAGAU